CAGUCGCCGCGGGAAUACGAAGGGUGCAAGCGUUACUCGGAAUUACUGGGCGUAAAGCGUGCGUAGGUGGUGGUUUAAGUCCGUUGUGAAAGCCCUGGGCUCAACCUGGGAAUUGCAGUGGAUACUGGGUCACUAGAGUGUGGUAGAGGAUAGUGGAAUUUCCGGUGUAGCAGUGAAAUGCGUAGAGAUCGGAAGGAACAUCUGUGGCGAAGGCGACUAUCUGGGCCAACACUGACACUGAGGCACGAAAGCGUGGGGAGCAAACAGGAUUAGAUACCCGUGUAGUCCCUGUCUCUUAUAU
RNAcentral lists this ribosomal RNA (301 nucleotides) under uncultured bacterium. RNAcentral describes it as "partial 16S ribosomal RNA". It matches the Rfam family "Bacterial small subunit ribosomal RNA", at positions 509 to 809 of the family's 1533-position model. The record is from RNAcentral.